This 72-nucleotide transfer RNA is filed under the name Toxocara canis (dog roundworm). It matches the Rfam family "tRNA". Rfam says of the family: Transfer RNA (tRNA) molecules are approximately 80 nucleotides in length. Their secondary structure includes four short double-helical elements and three loops (D, anti-codon, and T loops). Lineage: Eukaryota; Metazoa; Nematoda; Chromadorea; Rhabditida; Toxocaridae. The record is from Rfam by way of RNAcentral.
GCGGCAGUAGCUCAGGGAUAGAGCUCGCGCAUCGCAUGCGGGGACACCUGGGUUCGAUUCCCGGCUGCUUUC